GGCCAAGUUUUUAAGGGCGCACGGUGGAUGCCUUGGCACCAGGAACCGAUGAAGGACGUGGGAGGCCGCGAUAGGCCCCGGGGAGCUGUCAACCGAGCUGUGAUCCGGGGGUGUCCGAAUGGGGAAACCCGGCAGUCGUCAUGGGCUGUCACCCGCUGCUGAACACAUAGGCAGUGUGGAGGGAACGCGGGGAAGUGAAACAUCUCAGUACCCGCAGGAAGAGAAAACAACCGUGAUUCCGGGAGUAGUGGCGAGCGAAACUGGAUGAGGCCAAACCGUAUGCGUGUGAUACCCGGCAGGGGUUGCGUAUGCGGGGUUGUGGGAUCUCUCUUCUGUCGUCUGCCGGCGGCAGGACGAGUCAGAAACCGUUGAUGUAGGCGAAGGACAUGCGAAAGGUCCGGCGUAGAGGGUAAGACCCCCGUAGUCGAAACGUCAGCGGCUCGUUUGAGAGACACCCAAGUAGCACGGGGCCCGAGAAAUCCCGUGUGAAUCUGGCGGGACCACCCGUUAAGCCUAAAUAUUCCCUGGUGACCGAUAGCGGAUAGUACCGUGAGGGAAUGGUGAAAAGUACCGCGGGAGCGGAGUGAAAUAGUACCUGAAACCGUGUGCCUACAAGCCGUGGGAGCGUCGCAUCGAGUGCUUGCACUCGGUGUCGUGACUGCGUGCCUUUUGAAGAAUGAGCCUGCGAGUUUGCGGUGUGUUGCGAGGUUAACCCGUGUGGGGAAGCCGUAGCGAAAGCGAGUCCGAAGAGGGCGACCUAGUAGCGCGCCCAAGACCCGAAGCGGGGUGAUCUAGCCAUGGGCAGGUUGAAGCGGAGGUAAGACUUCGUGGAGGACCGAACCCACCAGGGUUGAAAACCUGGGGAUGACCUGUGGUUAGGGGUGAAAGGCCAAUCAAACUCCGUGAUAGCUG
RNAcentral lists this non-coding RNA (912 nucleotides) under Streptomyces caatingaensis. RNAcentral describes it as "Bacterial large subunit ribosomal RNA". It matches the Rfam family "Bacterial large subunit ribosomal RNA", at positions 1 to 851 of the family's 2925-position model. The record is from Rfam by way of RNAcentral. Lineage: Bacteria; Bacillati; Actinomycetota; Actinomycetes; Kitasatosporales; Streptomycetaceae.